AAAACUACUUGGCUCAUCUGGGUUACUAGUUUGGUAUCUUACUAAGCCUGACUUGUCUAGAUCCCAAGAUCUGGAAAGUGCAGAGGCAUCCAGGGUGGUUUGGCCACAGAACCAAUACUGCUUCUCUCUGCUGAGGAAGGCUACCUGCUGCCAUCCUGGUUGUAACCUUGACAGACAAAAACCACUGCAAAUCUGUGUUUAAAAGGUGGGUUAAGCAGUGGCUUUGGUGUAUUAUUCUCUCAACAUCCAAGAAAGCAGACUGAGAGAAACAUCCAGAAGGAGCCGGAUACUUUUAGAUUCCAUCAAGAACUUCAUCACAGGCCUCUUAAAGAAUGCUGGGCCCAACAGUGGAUAGAGUCACUGAUAUUUUUUCUCAUCCAGAAGCUUGCACAGCGCCUUCCACCUACCAACACCAUGAAAGAGCCAACCCGGAGACUUUGCUGGCAAAUUCAAGAUUGAGUUCUAUGUGUCCUGCAACCAAAAUGUGUGGCAACUUCAACAGUAGCAUUUUAACAUCUGGUAGUUUUAAUAACCAAGAGCAGUUGCAGUCACUUGGGUUCCAUGGGUGUCUCUGGAACCUUCUUGAAAAAUAAAUAAUUCAUAGGGAGGUAACCUGUGCCUGACAUUGAAUUUUUUAUUUAAUAACUGGUGUCUUCUGGGAAUAAUUCACUGCGGUGUGAUGCUUCUAUUCAAGCUCUUUAAAAAAUUUUAGUUUAAUUCAGUUCCAAACUAGUGGGGUUUAUUCAUAUAUUCAU
Molecule: long non-coding RNA, 755 nt
Organism: Mesocricetus auratus (golden hamster)
Lineage: Eukaryota; Metazoa; Chordata; Mammalia; Rodentia; Cricetidae
Exons: 4
Source: RefSeq, a predicted model, not a curated record